UACGUAGGGUGCGAGCGUUAAUCGGAAUUACUGGGCGUAAAGUGUGCGCAGGCGGCCGCGCAAGUCGGGUGUGAAAGCCCCGGGCUUAACUUGGGAAUUGCGCUCGAAACUACGUGGCUGGAGUGUGGCAGAGGAAGGUGGAAUUCCAGGUGUAGCGGUGAAAUGCGUAGAGAUCUGGAGGAACACCGAUGGCGAAGGCAGCCUUCUGGGCCAACACUGACGCUCAUGCACGAAAGCGUGGGGAGCAAACAGG
This 253-nucleotide ribosomal RNA is filed under the name uncultured bacterium. RNAcentral describes it as "partial 16S ribosomal RNA". It matches the Rfam family "Bacterial small subunit ribosomal RNA", at positions 524 to 776 of the family's 1533-position model. The record is from RNAcentral.